UUAUUUGAGAGUUUGAUCCUGGCUCAGGAUGAACGCUGGCGGCGUGCCUAACACAUGCAAGUUGAGCGAUUUACUUCGGUAAAGAGCGGCGGACGGGUGAGUAACGCGUGGGUAACCUACCCUGUACACACGGAUAACAUACCGAAGGGUAUGCUAAUACGGGAUAAUAUAUUUGAGAGGCAUCUCUUGAAUAUCAAAGGUGAGCCAGUACAGGAUGGACCCGCGUCUGAUUAGCUAGUUGGUAAGGUAACGGCUUACCAAGGCGACGA
Molecule: ribosomal RNA, 269 nt
Filed under: Clostridioides difficile
Lineage: Bacteria; Bacillati; Bacillota; Clostridia; Peptostreptococcales; Peptostreptococcaceae
Description: partial 16S ribosomal RNA
Rfam family: Bacterial small subunit ribosomal RNA
Source: RNAcentral